AUUCAUAUGACGAGUCCCGAACAGGACGAAAUGCGCGUUAUCCUGGAU
This is a non-coding RNA of Trichobilharzia regenti, 48 nucleotides long. NCBI's taxonomy places the organism in Eukaryota, Metazoa, Platyhelminthes, Trematoda, Strigeidida, Schistosomatidae. The record is from Rfam.